This 252-nucleotide ribosomal RNA is filed under the name uncultured bacterium. Its description in RNAcentral is "partial 16S ribosomal RNA". It matches the Rfam family "Bacterial small subunit ribosomal RNA", at positions 524 to 776 of the family's 1533-position model. The record is from RNAcentral.
UACGUAGGGGGCAAGCGUUGUCCGGAAUCAUUGGGCGUAAAGCGCGUGUAGGCGGCUCAGUAAGUCCGCUCUGAAAGCCCGGGGCUUAACCCCGGGAGGCGGGUGGAUACUGCUGAGCUUGAGUCCGGAAGAGGCGAGUGGAAUUCCCGGUGUAGCGGUGAAAUGCGCAGAUAUCGGGAGGAACACCAAUGCGAAGGCAGCUCGCUGGGACGUUACUGACGCUGAGAGCGAAAAGCGUGGGGAGCAAACAGG